CCCUUAGAUGUCCUGGGCCGCACGCGCGCUACACUGACAUGUUCAACAAGCCUCCUAGUUCGACAGGAUUUGGGAAAUCUUUGAACGCAUGUCGUGAUAGGGAUAGAUCAUUGCAAUUAUUGAUCUUGAACGAGGAAUUCCUAGUAAACGCGAGUCAUCAGCUCGCAUUGAUUACGUCCCUGCCCUUUGUACACACCGCCCGUCGCUACUACCGAUUGAAUGGUUUAGUGAGGCCUUCGGAUCCGCGACUCGUUUUGUGGAGAAGUUGGACAAACUCAGUCAUUUAGAGGAAGUAAAAGUCGUAACA
RNAcentral lists this ribosomal RNA (307 nucleotides) under uncultured eukaryote. RNAcentral's name for it is "partial 18S ribosomal RNA". It matches the Rfam family "Eukaryotic small subunit ribosomal RNA", at positions 1470 to 1796 of the family's 1831-position model. The record is from RNAcentral.